Molecule: ribosomal RNA, 490 nt
Filed under: uncultured bacterium
Lineage: Bacteria
Description: partial 16S ribosomal RNA
Rfam family: Bacterial small subunit ribosomal RNA
Source: RNAcentral
AUUGAACGCUGGCGGCAGGCUUAACACAUGCAAGUCGAGCGGUAGCACAGGGGAGCUUGCUCCCUGGGUGACGAGCGGCGGACGGGUGAGUAAUGUCUGGGAAACUGCCUGAUGGAGGGGGAUAACUACUGGAAACGGUAGCUAAUACCGCAUAACGUCGCAAGACCAAAGAGGGGGACCUUCGGGCCUCUUGCCAUCAGAUGUGCCCAGAUGGGAUUAGCUAGUAGGUGGGGUAAUGGCUCACCUAGGCGACGAUCCCUAGCUGGUCUGAGAGGAUGACCAGCCACACUGGAGCUGAGACACGGUCCAGACUCCUACGGGAGGCAGCAGUGGGGAAUAUUGCACAAUGGGCGCAAGCCUGAUGCAGCCAUGCCGCGUGUGUGAAGAAGGCCUUCGGGUUGUAAAGCACUUUCAGCGAGGAGGAAGGUGGUGAGCUUAAUACGUUCAUCAAUUGACGUUACUCGCAGAAGAAGCACCGGCUAACUCCGUG